CCUACGCGAGGCAGCAGUGGGGGAUAUUGCACAAUGGGGGGAACCCUGAUGCAGCGACGCCGCGUGGGUGAAGACGCGCCUCGGCGCGUAAAGCCCUUUCAGCAGGGAAGAAAAUGACGGUACCUGAAGAAGAAGCCCCGGCUAACUACGUGCCAGCAGCCGCGGUAAUACGUCGGGCGCACGCGUUAUCCGGAUUUACUGGGUGUAAAGGGGGCGCAGACGGGGAUGCAAGCCAGGAGGGCAAGCCCGGGGGCCAACCCCGGUACUGCUCUUGGAACUGCGUGGCUGGAGUGCAGGAGGGGCAGGCGGAAUGCCUGGUGGAGCGGUGAAAUGCGUAGAUAUCAGGAGGAACACCGGUGGCGAAGGCGGCAUGCUGGACUGCAACUGACGUUGAGGCCCGAAAGCGUGGGGAGCAAACAGGAUUAGAUACCCUAGUAGUC
RNAcentral lists this ribosomal RNA (440 nucleotides) under uncultured bacterium. Its description in RNAcentral is "partial 16S ribosomal RNA". It matches the Rfam family "Bacterial small subunit ribosomal RNA", at positions 338 to 795 of the family's 1533-position model. The record is from RNAcentral.